This 465-nucleotide ribosomal RNA is filed under the name uncultured bacterium. Its description in RNAcentral is "partial 16S ribosomal RNA". It matches the Rfam family "Bacterial small subunit ribosomal RNA", at positions 28 to 507 of the family's 1533-position model. The record is from RNAcentral.
GACGAACGCUGGCGGCGUGCUUAACACAUGCAAGUCGAACGGUAAGGCUCCAGCUUGCUGGGGUACACGAGUGGCGAACGGGUGAGUAACACGUGGGUGACCUGCCCUGCACUUCGGGAUAAGCCUGGGAAACUGGGUCUAAUACCGGAUAGGACCGCACCGUGAGGGCGUGGUGGGAAGGUUUUUCGGUGUGGGAUGGGCUCGCGGCCUAUCAGCUUGUUGGUGGGGUAAUGGCCUACCAAGGCGGCGACGGGUAGCCGGCCUGAGAGGGUGGACGGCCACAUUGGGACUGAGACACGGCCCAGACUCCUACGGGAGGCAGCAGUGGGGAAUAUUGCACAAUGGGCGGAAGCCUGAUGCAGCGACGCCGCGUGGGGGAUGACGGCCUUCGGGUUGUAAACUCCUUUCACCAUCGACGAAGGGUUUCUGACGGUAGAUGGAGAAGAAGCACCGGCUAACUACGUG